GUAACGAUAAAGCGGGUGAAAAGCCCGCUCGCCGGAAGACCAAGGGUUCCUGUCCAACGUUAAUCGGGGCAGGGUGAGUCGACCCCUAAGGCGAGGCCGAAAGGCGUAGUCGAUGGGAAACAGGUUAAUAUUCCUGUACUUGGUGUUACUGCGAAGGGGGGACGGAGAAGGCUAUGUUGGCCGGGCGACGGUUGUCCCGGUUUAAGCGUGUAGGCUGGUUUUCCAGGCAAAUCCGGAAAAUCAAGGCUGAGGCGUGAUGACGAGGCACUACGGUGCUGAAGCAACAAAUGCCCUGCUUCCAGGAAAAGCCUCUAAGCAUCAGGUAACAUCAAAUCGUACCCCAAACCGACACAGGUGGUCAGGUAGAGAAUACCAAGGCGCUUGAGAGAACUCGGGUGAAGGAACUAGGCAAAAUGGUGCCGUAACU
RNAcentral lists this ribosomal RNA (427 nucleotides) under Escherichia coli. RNAcentral describes it as "partial 23S ribosomal RNA". It matches the Rfam family "Bacterial large subunit ribosomal RNA", at positions 1306 to 1735 of the family's 2925-position model. Lineage: Bacteria; Pseudomonadati; Pseudomonadota; Gammaproteobacteria; Enterobacterales; Enterobacteriaceae. The record is from RNAcentral.